UGUCACACUGUGGUGGAGGGUCCCCUCU
Molecule: non-coding RNA, 28 nt
Filed under: Homo sapiens (human)
Lineage: Eukaryota; Metazoa; Chordata; Mammalia; Primates; Hominidae
Source: RNAcentral